Molecule: long non-coding RNA, 2530 nt
Organism: Scylla paramamosain (green mud crab)
Lineage: Eukaryota; Metazoa; Arthropoda; Malacostraca; Decapoda; Portunidae
Exons: 3
Source: RefSeq, a predicted model, not a curated record
CUCUCUCUCAUGUUCCUAGUUUUAUUCUCUUUCCCUCUUGUCCCCAGUUCCUUUUUACCUCAGUUAUCAUUUCCUCUUCUCCCUUAAUCCUUGCCUCUUCAUCUUUCUCUCUUUUAUCUCUUUUUCCUUCCCGUGUCCCUUUAAGUUUUUCUUCCUCUUAGUCUCUCCCUCCUUAGCUCCCUUCUCAGUCAGUCUCUCUCCUGCCCACUGCACCUCCGCCCUCUUGAUCCCUGCCAGGUACUCUCUGACCUCUGACUAAAGCGUAUUCCAGACAACAUUGACGGAUAAGAAAAUAAUAAUUGAUUUUUUUCCACCGCAGACGUGAGAGAAAGAGAGAGAGUUUAAACACUGAGUGACUGGAGAAAGGAUAAAGCUUGAUGUAAAAAUAAGAAAGUGUUGGAAAAUAUAACAGAUGAACUUUUAAAUGGAAGAACAUCUGGAAAUACGAGUAUAAGGUAAUAAGAGGACGUUGUGUGUUUGUUUUAGUACUGUAUAACUUUUAGUGAACAUAAGGAAGGUUGGUGUUGGAAGAAUUAUGAUUGCACGCAAGGAAAAUUGAAGCUGAAAGAAGGUCGCGUGUUCGUGUAGCACUGGAUAACAAUUGCUGAACAUAAGGAAGGUAAAUAUUAAAGGAAAUAUCAGAAACAAGGAAAAUAGAAAUUGAGGGAAAAUCUUUUACUGAAUAUAAGGAAGGUUAAGAGAAUCAUUAGAAACAAGGAAAAUACAAACUGAAAAAGAACGUUGGGUGUUUUUGUAGCACUGGAUGACAAUUACUGAAUAGAAGGAAGGUAACUAUACUAAAAGAAAUAUUUGAAAGAAGGAAAGUACAAGUUGGAAAAAAAGUCACGUGUUUCUGUAGCUUGGAUAACAAUUACUGAACAGAAGGAAGAUACGAGGAGUAAAAGACCACCGUGUGUUUUGUACUAGAUAACAAUUCAACACGGGGAAAAAGAUUGCAGAGAUUUUACUAUCAGAAGCAAAGAAAACACAAACUGGAAAAAAAAAGAAGUCACAUUGUCCCUGUAACACCAAAUAACAAUUACUGAACAGAGAGAAUAUACGAGAAUCAAAACAUUACCGUGUGUUCUGUACUUGAGAGCCACUCGAGGAAAAGUUGGCAGAGCAUCGUGUGUUUUGAAGCUCUCGAUAAGUAUUCCCCGGAGUGUUUCUUAAGGUUAGUGUCCGUAGGUCAGCAGCGGCCUUGUGGUGACCCGUGCGUUCCUUGUUGGUAUUGUGUUUCUCGCAGCGCCCGCCCACCACAGCCGCCAAGAUUCCGUUCCUACGCCGAAAGAAGGUUAUUGAGGUGGUGAUGAGGGAGAAGAAGGGCGGCGCGUUAAGCAAAGUCCAGAAGCUUAAACGGCGCAUCUCCAACAGCUUCGGAAAACUAGGUAAGCAGCUCACCUUCAGUCACGCUUCCCAGGUAAAGGCAAGGUGAGGAUAGUAUAUUAUAGAUAGUAAGGAAGAUAGAUGUGUUAGAAUUAUUGUAGUAGAAGUGAAAGUAAGGGAGAGAGAAGAUAACAGGUGAUAAACGAGGAAGAAGAGAUAUAUUAGAAUUAGUGCUGGAGGAAUGAAGGUGUAGGAUGUGUGUGUGUGUGUGUGUGUGUGUGUGUGUGUGUGGUGAUUGGCGGCGUGAAGUGACGUGGCGAGGACCUGAUUGCCUCUUUAUUGCCCCUCAUUGACAUUAGUGUGCCGCCGCUGCUGCCGCCACCGCCGCCAUCACUGCCGCCGCCACCACCACCACCAUCGCCACCACCACCACCAUCGCCGCCACCACCGCAAGGACAAUAACAUCAACAACAGCAGCAUCCCUCACUGUCAUCACCACCAUCACUGCUACUAACAAAUAACAACAACAACAACGACAAAGACACGACCACAACCACCAAGACGAAGUCGAAGAACAAACAACAACAACAGCAUAAACAACAACAACAACAACAACAACAUGACCACAACCACCACCACUACCACAAAGAAGAAGAACAACAACAACAAUACUCCUACUUGCCACCACUUCUAUGACCACCACCACCACCACCACCACCACCACUACCACCACCACCACCACCACUACCACCAUUAAUAGCUCUUGUCACCACCAUUAGCUCUCAUCACCAUUACACGCAACUCACCAACUGAACAAUUACCUUAAGUUUUACAACCACCACCACCACUACCACCACCACCACCACAACAACAACAACAACAACAUGGACAGGAGCCAACUCUUGUUUUUUUAUUUUUCUUUUCCCUACACCAAAAAUAUUCCUCUUAAAUGAAGAAAAAGAAGGAGGAGGAGGAGGAGGAGGAAGAAGAAGAAGAAGAAGAAGAAGAAGAAGAAGAAGAAGAAGAAGAAGAAGAAGAAGAAGAAGAAGAAGAAGAAGAAGAAGAAGAAGAAGAAGAAGAAAGAAUAAAAAAAGGAAGAAAAGGAAAAGAAAAAAAGAAAACGAGGAACUUGCUGACAAUAUGUGGGGAGAGAGAGAGAGAGAGAGAGAGAGAGAGAGAGAGAGAGAGAGAGAGAGAGAGAGAG